RNAcentral lists this ribosomal RNA (468 nucleotides) under uncultured bacterium. RNAcentral describes it as "partial 16S ribosomal RNA". It matches the Rfam family "Bacterial small subunit ribosomal RNA", at positions 28 to 507 of the family's 1533-position model. The record is from RNAcentral.
GACGAACGCUGGCGGCGUGCUUAACACAUGCAAGUCGAACGGAAAGGCCCUGCUUUUGUGGGGUGCUCGAGUGGCGAACGGGUGAGUAACACGUGAGUAACCUGCCCUUGACUUUGGGAUAACUUCAGGAAACUGGGGCUAAUACCGGAUAGGAGCUCCUGCUGCAUGGUGGGGGUUGGAAAGUUUCGGCGGUUGGGGAUGGACUCGCGGCUUAUCAGCUUGUUGGUGGGGUAGUGGCUUACCAAGGCUUUGACGGGUAGCCGGCCUGAGAGGGUGACCGGCCACAUUGGGACUGAGAUACGGCCCAGACUCCUACGGGAGGCAGCAGGGGGGAAUAUUGCACAAUGGGCGGAAGCCUGAUGCAGCAACGCCGCGUGCGGGAUGACGGCCUUCGGGUUGUAAACCGCUUUCGCCUGCGACGAAGCGUGAGUGACGGUAGUGGGUAAAGAAGCACCGGCUAACUACGUG